AUACGGAGGAUGCGAGCGUUAUCCGGAUUUAUUGGGUUUAAAGGGUGCGCAGGCGGCCAUUUAAGUCAGCGGUUAAAUCGUGGGGCUCAACCCCAUUCUGCCGUUGAUACUGGGUGGCUUGAUUGCGGUCGAGGUUGGCGGAAUUCGUUGUGUAGCGGUUAAAUGCAUAGAUAUGACGAAGAACACCGAUUGCGUAGGCAGCUGACCAGACCGCAAAUGACGCUCAUGCACGAAAGUGCGGGGAUCGAACAGGAUUAGAUACCCUGGUAGUCCGCACAGUAAACGAUGAAUACUUGUUUUCGGCGAUAUAAUGUCGGAGGCAAAGCGAAAGCGAUAAGUAUUCCACCUGGAGAGUACGCCGGCAACGGUGAAACUCAAAUGAAUUGGCGGGG
This 392-nucleotide ribosomal RNA is filed under the name uncultured bacterium. Its description in RNAcentral is "partial 16S ribosomal RNA". It matches the Rfam family "Bacterial small subunit ribosomal RNA", at positions 523 to 918 of the family's 1533-position model. The record is from RNAcentral.